AGCCUUAUAUUCAUGUAAUGAUUAUAGAAUGCAAUUCUAUAGGAGUAGUUGAAUAAUGCUACUAAGGCUU
RNAcentral lists this transfer RNA (70 nucleotides) under Asiablatta kyotensis. RNAcentral's name for it is "tRNA-Cys". Lineage: Eukaryota; Metazoa; Arthropoda; Insecta; Blattodea; Blattellidae. The record is from RNAcentral.